Transfer RNA from Aspergillus ruber CBS 135680, 108 nucleotides. It matches the Rfam family "tRNA". From Rfam's summary of the family: Transfer RNA (tRNA) molecules are approximately 80 nucleotides in length. Their secondary structure includes four short double-helical elements and three loops (D, anti-codon, and T loops). Further hydrogen bonds mediate the characteristic L-shaped molecular structure. tRNAs have two regions of fundamental functional importance: the anti-codon, which is responsible for specific mRNA codon recognition, and the 3' end, to which the tRNAs corresponding amino acid is attached (by aminoacyl-tRNA synthetases). tRNAs cope with the degeneracy of the genetic code in two manners: having more than one tRNA (with a specific anti-codon) for a particular amino acid; and 'wobble' base-pairing, i.e. permitting non-standard base-pairing at the 3rd anti-codon position. The record is from Rfam. NCBI's taxonomy places the organism in Eukaryota, Fungi, Ascomycota, Eurotiomycetes, Eurotiales, Aspergillaceae.
GACACUUUGGCCGAGUGGUUAAGGCGUGUGACUUGAAUAUGAAUACUUCUGUAUUCGAGUCGAUAUCACAUACGUUCGCGUUCGCAGGUUCGAAUCCUGCAGGUGUCG